Molecule: long non-coding RNA, 1674 nt
Organism: Cygnus olor (mute swan)
Lineage: Eukaryota; Metazoa; Chordata; Aves; Anseriformes; Anatidae
Exons: 3
Source: RefSeq, a predicted model, not a curated record
UCAGCUGUAACCCCCCAGCAACACAGACUGACCAGUAAGAGGCAAGAAGGAGCAAUGGGGCUUUGUUGACAGGCAGACCUUGUUACCCCUCCCAGGCACUCAGGGUAACUCCAAUAAGUUGCUGAUUGCUUCUGAGGGAGUAGGGUUUGGAGAGGAAGGUGUAGGAUUUGUUGGUUGUGUUUUUUUUCCUUUUUUCUUUUUUUUUUCCUGUGAUGAAUAAUAUGGGUGGAAUUUGGUUUUGCUCAGGAAAAAAAAAAAAGGUAGCUUUGGUUUUGCUGGAGCUCUGUGGCAGUGAAAUGUGCUGUUGCACAUGGUGUGCUCCUGCUCCUUGACCUCUCUGCUGCUCAGCUUGCUGCUUUGAGCUUUCUGUGUACUCAUGAAGUGAGUUCAGUGCCUUCUGCCUUGCUUCCUCAAGGAAAAGAGCAACAGCUAUGGAGGAGAAGGGAGCCUUGCUGCUCUUGUCCGUAUGUGAUGAUCCAGAGCAAGACUUGAGGGAAUCCGGGGAAGACUGUAUUGUAAUAUUUUCCAUCUUCUCCUGACAUACCAGAAACUUGAUCAUCUGACUCUGCUCUUCUUCUGCAGCAACUCUCAGUCCUCUGCAACAAGCCUCCGUGUUGAGCUACGGAGAGAGUGGUGUUAUUCCGGGUGGUAUCCACAUGUAUUGAAAGGGGAAUGGAAGCUGUGAUCACAGCUCGACUGCUCUUUGUCUGCAGACUUUGGACACAAGUUUCUGCAGCUGACCUGCUGAUUUCACAUUGCAGUUGAAAACGUAGUUCUCAGCAAGCCCCAGCGAUACACUGACAGCUGAAUUUGGCCAAGCAUAUGCCCCUCCUAUUGACAUACAUUGCAAGUUUAAUCUGUGUCCUCCCAUCCUAUGCAGCUGGAAGAUUUAUUGCUGCUAGAGGAGCCUCAGAAGAAGUGUCCUUUUCAUGCAGUUUUACCUUGAAGUUUCAGUAGUGGAUUGAUAAUUCACUGCACGUGCAAUGCACUUAUUUCUUCCUAACUCAGUUUUGGAAGGCUGUUCAUGACUUGCAAUGAGGCAGUGAGGCUCGGCAGAAAAAAGAAGAGCUACGGCAGUGCUCAGAUGUGGCCAGACAGAACAACUGGGGCAAAGGAAAGUGAAAAGGCUGCAGAAAGGUAGAGUCAGCCAUUGCCUUGCACGGUCUCUUUCCUGCUCCUUUUCACAAGGACAGUGAGCUGGUUUGUACCGCUUGUAUCCUGGGAAACGCUCAUAAUGGAUUUACUUUUGCAGAAAACACCACUGACUUUGUCUCUGAAAGAACAGAGCAGAAAAUGUAAUUGAACCAGCAAAUCAUCAAUAGCUUGGCCUACUGGGUAGAGCAGAAGACUUGAGAGGCAGGACUCGACUCCUGAGCUGUUUUCCAGCAUGGUUGCUGACUGGGUGGUGGCCGGGGGCCAAAUGACUCCAGUUUGAUGUUUGCUUGCUUGCUCACCCAAGCCUUGGUGCUCAGUAAUUUGACUUCUUGCCACUUAUUUUAGGCCAUACAUGAAAGGUAUGCACAGUGGCAGGCAGGUGGUUUCCAGGCACCUCGCAGAAGUUCAUUUGCAAAAGGGAAGAGUGUUACCUCAUCUGUUGAUUAUGGUUCAGAGAAAAAGCUUUAAUGAUUGUUUAAACGGAAAAUGUUUUGUGUACACAGGAGACGAUUCACAGCU